GACGGAGGAUGCAAGCGUUAUCCGGAAUUAUUGGGCGUAAAGCGUCCGCAGGUGGCUGUUCAAGUCUGCUGUCAAAGCGCAGAGCUUAACUCUGUACAGGCGGUGGAAACUGAAGAGCUAGAGUAUGGUAGGGGUAGAGGGAAUUCCCGGUGUAGCGGUGAAAUGCGUAGAUAUCGGGAAGAACACCAGUGGCGAAGGCGGGUCUCUGGGCCGAUACUGACGCGUGAG
This 228-nucleotide ribosomal RNA is filed under the name uncultured bacterium. RNAcentral describes it as "partial 16S ribosomal RNA". It matches the Rfam family "Bacterial small subunit ribosomal RNA", at positions 524 to 750 of the family's 1533-position model. The record is from RNAcentral.